Molecule: ribosomal RNA, 482 nt
Filed under: uncultured Streptococcus sp.
Lineage: Bacteria; Bacillati; Bacillota; Bacilli; Lactobacillales; Streptococcaceae
Description: bacterial SSU rRNA
Rfam family: Bacterial small subunit ribosomal RNA
Source: RNAcentral
CGUUAAAAUGAAGUUGACGGGGCCCGCACAAGCGGUGGAGCAUGUGGUUAAUUCGAAGCAACGCGAAGAACCUUACCAGGUCUUGACAUCCCUGACAACCCGAGAGAUCGGGCGUUCCCCUCGGGGGACAGGGUGACAGGUGGUGCAUGGUUGUCGUCAGCUCGUGUCGUGAGAUGUUGGGUUAAGUCCCGCAACGAGCGCAACCCCUAUUGUUAGUUGCCAUCAUUCAGUUGGGCACUCUAGCGAGACUGCCGGUAAUAAACCGGAGGAAGGUGGGGAUGACGUCAAAUCAUCAUGCCCCUUAUGACCUGGGCUACACACGUGCUACAAUGGUUGGUACAACGAGUUGCGAGUCGGUGACGGCGAGCUAAUCUCUUAAAGCCAAUCUCAGUUCGGAUUGUAGGCUGCAACUCGCCUACAUGAAGUCGGAAUCGCUAGUAAUCGCGGAUCAGCACGCUGCGGUGAAUACGUUCCCGGGUCUU